UACGUAGGGUGCGAGCGUUAAUCGGAAUUACUGGGCGUAAAGCGUGCGCAGGCGGUUUCACAAGCUAGAUGUGAAAGCCCCGGGCUUAACCUGGGAACUGCAUUUAGGACUGUGGAGCUAGAGUGCGGCAGAGGGAGGUGGAAUUCCACGUGUAGCAGUGAAAUGCGUAGAUAUGUGGAGGAACACCGAUGGCGAAGGCAGCCUCCUGGGCCGACACUGACGCUCAUGCACGAAAGCGUGGGGAGCAAAC
RNAcentral lists this ribosomal RNA (250 nucleotides) under uncultured bacterium. RNAcentral describes it as "partial 16S ribosomal RNA". It matches the Rfam family "Bacterial small subunit ribosomal RNA", at positions 524 to 773 of the family's 1533-position model. The record is from RNAcentral.